RNAcentral lists this long non-coding RNA (340 nucleotides) under Pan troglodytes (chimpanzee). Its description in RNAcentral is "long non-coding RNA NONPTRT000722". Lineage: Eukaryota; Metazoa; Chordata; Mammalia; Primates; Hominidae. The record is from RNAcentral.
CUGAGUCGAACCAAACUAAGAAACACAUGCAGAUAUGGAAGACCAACAGAGAGAAGCAAGAGGAAGUAAAGUCAGAGGAGUUUGCAAAAUGGGGGUGAGAGGAAAACACAUCAUAUCUUGCACUUGGGUGGAAAAGAGCAGAAAUCCUUGGUUAAUAGGAUUAUACGCAACGGUGCAGAAAGCAUUCUCUAAAGAAAAAUCAGAGAGGAAGAAACACCGCAUGGAGAAUCCAAGAAACACUCUAAGAAUUGAAGUUAAAAUGUCGGAGGUAAGAAAGUGACAAUCCUUGGAGGAAUAUUUUUGAGCAUUAAGCAGGUGAAUUAGAAGAAACAGCAAUGGC